GACGAACGCUGGCGGCGUGCUUAACACAUGCAAGUCGAACGGAAAGGCCCUGCUUUUGUGGGGUGCUCGAGUGGCGAACGGGUGAGUAACACGUGAGUAACCUGCCCUUGACUUUGGGAUAACUUCAGGAAACUGGGGCUAAUACCGGAUAGGAGCUCCUGCUGCAUGGUGGGGGUUGGAAAGUCUCGGCGGUUGGGGAUGGACUCGCGGCUUAUCAGCUUGUUGGUGGGGUAGUGGCUUACCAAGGCUUUGACGGGUAGCCGGCCUGAGAGGGUGACCGGCCACAUUGGGACUGAGAUACGGCCCAGACUCCUACGGGAGGCAGCAGUGGGGAAUAUUGCACAAUGGGUGGAAGCCUGAUGCAGCAACGCCGCGUGCGGGAUGACGGCCUUCGGGUUGUAAACCGCUUUCGCCUGUGACGAAGCGUGAGUGACGGUAAUGGGUAAAGAAGCACCGGCUAACUACGUG
Molecule: ribosomal RNA, 468 nt
Filed under: uncultured bacterium
Lineage: Bacteria
Description: partial 16S ribosomal RNA
Rfam family: Bacterial small subunit ribosomal RNA
Source: RNAcentral